RNAcentral lists this ribosomal RNA (253 nucleotides) under uncultured bacterium. RNAcentral describes it as "partial 16S ribosomal RNA". It matches the Rfam family "Bacterial small subunit ribosomal RNA", at positions 524 to 776 of the family's 1533-position model. The record is from RNAcentral.
UACGUAGUGUGUAAGCGUUACUCGGAAUUACUGGGCGUAAAGCGUGCGCAGGCGGUUUUGUAAGUCUGACGUGAAAUCCCCGGGCACAAACUGGGAAUUGCGUUGGAGACUGCAAGGCUAGAGUGUGUCAGAGGGGGGUAGAAUUCCACGUGUAGCAGUGACAUGCGUAGAGAUGUGGAGGAACACCGAUGGCGAAGGCAGCCCCCUGGGUCAAGAUUGACGCUCAUGCACGAAAGCGUGGGGAGCAAACAGG